CCCUACGGGGUGCACCAGGGAAGAUACCGGAAUCGCAGCAUUAAAAUUGAGAGUGCCAAUACUGCCAAUAACAACAGACCGAUGAUCGGAGUUUUUGACAGAAAAAGUGUGCAGGUAAGGAUGAAAAACAGGAUGCUGAAAAAUAUCAAUAAUACCGGGUAAGCUGCUAAUAAACAGAGGGAUAAAGCGGCGAGGAUUGCUAAGAAAAACUGAAAAUAUAUGAGAUUUUUUCCGGUUAUUGUUGUGUAGUCCAUAUAUGCAAUCUCCGGUAAGGUUCCAGGAUAUCAUCUUUUUUGUACAAUCGGAAUUCAAUUUUCUGUUUUUCCGAGUUGGAGCCCGAUAUCAUUGGCAGCGAUUGACGCACCAGCCAUUUUUCAUUAUCGUUCAAAGAGACAUUCUGGCGGGAAGGC
RNAcentral lists this ribosomal RNA (410 nucleotides) under uncultured prokaryote. RNAcentral describes it as "partial 16S ribosomal RNA". The record is from RNAcentral.